UACGAAGGGGGCUAGCGUUGUUCGGAUUUACUGGGCGUAAAGGGCGCGCAGGCGGAUUUUUAAGUCGGGGGUGAAAUCCCGGAGCUCAACUCCGGACCUGCCUUCGAUCCUGAAAGUCUGGAGCACGGCAGAGGUGAGUGGAAAUCCGAUGGUAGAGGUGAAAUUCGUAGAUAUUCGGAGGAACACCAGUGGCGAACGCGGCUCACUGGACCGUUGCUGACGCUGAGGCGCGAGCGCGUCGGCAGGAAUCAGG
RNAcentral lists this ribosomal RNA (253 nucleotides) under uncultured bacterium. RNAcentral's name for it is "partial 16S ribosomal RNA". It matches the Rfam family "Bacterial small subunit ribosomal RNA", at positions 524 to 776 of the family's 1533-position model. The record is from RNAcentral.